Molecule: ribosomal RNA, 501 nt
Filed under: uncultured bacterium
Lineage: Bacteria
Description: partial 16S ribosomal RNA
Rfam family: Bacterial small subunit ribosomal RNA
Source: RNAcentral
AUUGAACGCUGGCGGCAGGCUUAACACAUGCAAGUCGAGCGGGGGAAGGUAGCUUGCUACCGGACCUAGCGGCGGACGGGUGAGUAAUGCUUAGGAAUCUGCCUAUUGGUGGGGGACAACAUCUCGAAAGGGAUGCUAAUACCGCAUACGUCCUACGGGAGAAAGCAGGGGAUCUUCGGACCUUGCGCUAAUAGAUGAGCCUAAGUCGGAUUAGCUAGUUGGUGGGGUAAAGGCCUACCAAGGCGACGAUCUGUAGCGGGUCUGAGAGGAUGAUCCGCCACACUGGGACUGAGACACGGCCCAGACCCCUACAGGAGGCAGCAGUGGGGAAUAUUGGACAAUGGGGGGAACCCUGAUCCAGCCAUGCCGCGUGUGUGAAGAAGGCCUUAUGGUUGUAAAGCACUUUAAGCGAGGAGGAGGCUACUCUAGUUAAUACCUAGGGAUAGUGGACGUUACUCGCAGAAUAAGCACCGGCUAACUCUGUGCCAGCCGCCGCGGUAA